Long non-coding RNA from Zalophus californianus (California sea lion), 963 nucleotides. RefSeq lists it as uncharacterized. The record is from RefSeq and is a predicted model, not a curated record. NCBI's taxonomy places the organism in Eukaryota, Metazoa, Chordata, Mammalia, Carnivora, Otariidae. The transcript is spliced from 7 exons.
CAAAAGUCACCCCCCACACACAAACUCAGAAAUCUUACAGAAUGAAAAUAAACAUCAGCUUCAAGGCAGAAUAGAAAAGAGGGCCAACUAAGGAAAACAGCCUUGAACAAACAGACACCUGCCUAUAUGAUCUACCUGAUGCUCCUCACAGUUAACACUGCUACUGCCUUUCCCCCUCUUCGCUAGGUGCAAGAAAACCAGCUCAAAACAGGGAUUCAUCUUUAAGGCACAGAAGGACCUCACAGACUGGAAAUCAUGGCUCCUGUCUCCUACCCCCAUUCUCCUCUCAGAGCUGUGUGGUCCUCUGGUGUUUCUCACAUCUUCUGCUGACCCGGAGAGGAUAAGCAAACACUCCACAAUGCCCAUCAGGUGCCCAGUGAAUGCAAGGGCUGUCAGGACACAGUCCUCUUCCAGACACUUGUCAGAGUGCCCAGUGACUCUCGUGCAGAUCCCCUCCAGGGCCAAAUUAAACAUUCUACUGUUACCAAUAAAAGAAAACUACAUGGCUAUCAUCACCUGGGGAUAUCUCACACCACCACCCUAAAAGGAAAUGCAAAGUUACAUCAGUGACUUACCAGCUGGCUGUGUUUGUGCUAUUCUCUUUGGCUGCUGAAUUUCAGCGAAUGAAUGACCCUGACUUCCACAGGAAAAUAUCAUUCAGGAAUAGUGAAGAAAUACGAAAAUCAUAUUACAAGAUUAAUAAAACUAUGGUCCAGAAACAUAAACUGAUCUGUACCAGCAUGUACAGGGCUCCUGACCAGAGCAAGCCUUCUGACCUCCAGAUGGUUGUGGCCCAGCCUGGUGGCACAGGAGAGAGGGCAGAACACGGAGCCGUCGGGUUUGAAGUGACAAGCCCCGCUUAAAACAAAGCUCUGCUACCAUUGUGUGGUCUUCAGCAGAUUAUUUUUAAAAUCUCCCGGAGCCUCAUUUUCUUCAUUGAAAAUAUAUUUCUACUUAUGCAGU